This is a long non-coding RNA of Anolis sagrei ordinatus, 1661 nucleotides long. RefSeq lists it as uncharacterized. The record is from RefSeq and is a predicted model, not a curated record. NCBI's taxonomy places the organism in Eukaryota, Metazoa, Chordata, Lepidosauria, Squamata, Anolidae.
GGUUUGCUUUGAGAAAAGCCAGCUCGGGAGUGAUUUCUGUGUGUGUGUCACGGUUUGGUAAAUGUACCCCUUUAAGAGGCUUUGCCUAAAUCCCCACGCACACCUUCAGCCAGAUUUGAAUACAGAUUUCGGGUGUUCAAAAGCCCCGUCGCGGGCAAAAUCCAAAAAGAGAGAGAGAAAGAGAAGGAGAGGGAUCCUAGAAACUCCUUCUUGGGGUUUCCAGGCACGAGGAGGCCCCCAUCUCUCUACACAAACCCCCCAAGUGGAGAGAGAAAAGAAGGAGAGCAGGGUCAGGAGACUUAUUUUCAGAGGAUGCAACGUUUCCACAAGGGACCUCCUUUUUUGGUUGAGUGUUGUGUGUAGACAGAGGAAGAAACAAACCCAAGGAACAGCCUCCAAUGGGGGAAAAAGUUGGGAAGUUUUGUCAAGCUGGGAUCAUGUGCCUGUUUGCUUUUCCCUUCUUUAUUUUUUGACUCCUUGACUUCAUUCCUUGGACGACUCUCCAGCCAAGGAAGGACCUCCAACUGGGGAGAAGUAACUCAGAAGAAGCCAAUUCCACUCCCAAACGUUUUGCGACAAGUAACUUUGCGGCUGCUGCUGACCUUCUCUCUUCCUCUUCUUCCUCCAUCUGGGAUGCCAGCCCUCCUCGCCUACCGCUGUAAUAAAAUGCAGAGACACCCUUCCUAAUGAAGUCGGAGUGUUCCUGCGCAUUGCUUCCGCUCUUCCAGUGGAUCAGAAGUCAUCUCCAACAUUUGAUAAUUCUACAGCAAUGAUGGGAGUGUCCUAAAAGAUUUCUCCAGAAGAAGCCUGCCAUGGUCUUCCACUGAGGCUGAGAGUGUGUGACUUGCUCAAGGACGCUCAGUGAGUUUCCAAGUCUGAGAGGGGAAUAGAACUCUGGCCUCAAGUUCAACACCCAGACUACUACACCUAGCUGAAUCUCCUUGGAUUUUCUUGGCAAGAUUUCUUCAGAAGUGGUCACCAUGCUCUUCCUCUGAGGCUGAGAGUGUGUGACCAGCUCAAGGCCAAUCAGUGAAGCAGCUUCUAUUCUGAGAUGGAAUUUGAAGGAUGGUCCUAGUCUAAAAUGCAAGCCAGCACUACACAUAGUUUUAGCGAUUUAACACAUAUGAAUACCCCAUAUAUAUACAGUCAGUCCUUUUCUAUUUUGGGUUUCACUUUUGUUGAUUGGAUUAAUAUGUCCUCUUCACAUUCUCCAACAUAUCUCUAUGGACAACUUCUAGAGGAUCUAGAUUACUAGAGAGAUGUUCCCUUGGGUUAAAUAGAAUUAGCACUUUAAAGGCCGAGAGGAGGCUGUUGAAGCUGUUUGCAAUUUAUAAUGUAGAUUUCAAAGUAUGUAUGUAUGUAUGUAUGUAUGUAUGUAUGUAUGUAUGUUUAAAAUGCAGUAGCUAUGUGCCAAGUGUAAUGUAUUCCUGUGUGGAAAGAGUUAACUGAACCAUGGAGGGAACGGCACUCCUAGAGAGAUCAUAAAUCAAGUGUAUAGAAUAAAUGGACGCAGUGUAGUGUCAUGCGUCAUUCUGGAAUGCAAGAGGUGUGGACUAGUACUGAUAACAGUUAGUGUGUUGACAAUGUUACAAUCCGACGGUAAAGAAGCAAGUUUACGAUGUGCUGAGUGUUAUUUAGCUUCUAAUGUAUAUAGGUGUAAA